GAUGGAUGAUUUAGGUAACAGUGUGGCCUGAUUUCUACUGAGAUGGCCUUGAACCUGGUGAGAGAAUGUGGAGCCCUGCCUAUUGUCUCUUCUGCUCAGAUAAUGCUCUUGGUGCAAAAUGCUGUAUCAUUUGUGUCCUUUUGCCGUGAUGUCCAUAUUGACACAAAUCUGGCCCCAAAUACAGUGUGGCAGUGGCUUUUUGCCCCCCUGCAGCUCUGAUGGGUAGAAAGAUUCUCAAGUGAUUGUUCUGUUCUGUUUUACCUUGGUCAGUGGGCAAGAUUUUCCCUGCACAGCUCUGUCUUCUCACAAGAUUUCCGGAUUCUGUGCCCAUUCAGAUAAUAGGUAUGUAAGUAUCAAGGACAUUUUGGCCGUAAAUGGGGCACAGGUCAGUGGGGUACAGCACUUGAGGAUAAUUUAACACCUGGUCCAUUCACUCUGCUUCCUAUGCCUCUCAACAGAAGAAUUUUGAGAAUUUUUGCCUCACCAUUUUCCUCUUGGGAAAGCCAAAUCAUAUCUUUUUAUUAUUUUGCUAGUGCUUUUAUGAGGAGGUGAUAAAAAUCUGGGAAGUAAUGUUAAUUUAUAUUUUACAUGCAGUAACAUCAUUUAUACAUAAAUCACAUUUUUUUUUCUUAUAACAGCAGACACAAAUGAUAUUCCUAAUACCUUUUUGUGAUAUCUGUUUGAUGCCAAAGGUUUAUAUCCUUUUCUCAUCUCUACUCAUUAGGCAGAAUUCAUUGUUUCUUCCUCUGUUUCCUGAUCCAGACAUUUAUUACAGCAUGCACACUGUUAAAUAGUUAAUUUAAAAGUGUGUCACUUUAUAUGUUUUAUACUCACCAUUGAAUAAUUAGGAUUGAACAAUAAGGCUUUUAUUGAAUAAAUGAGGUUUUUAAAUAUUAUACAUGAAAUUUUUGUGGUAUCGUGCAACAUACAUUAAACAUUUCAGUACCCAGUACACAGGAGAUGCUCAAUAAACACUGAGUGAAUGAAAUAUUGAAUAUGAAUUGAGUUUCAAUUACACACAAGGUCUUUUUGUAGGAAUUAGAGAUUUGAUCAGUGCUUUAAUGAAAUUACAAUAUACGGUGGAUGAUCAUUCAAUUACUUUAAAACAUUUUGAAAUGGCAUGGGGAUUAUUUUGAAUAACAUUUUAUUUUUCUUUACUGUUUUGUUUAGUUUUUUCUAAAAUACCUGGCUUUUAAAAUGAUGGUCAAAUACAAUCCUUGUGAAUUUAAUAUAUUAAAGAAUACUUAUAUAAAUGGUGUCCCUUAAAAACAUGAGCCAUUUGAAUUGCCUUUCUUAUCUUUAUGCCCACCAGAGUGUUUGGCAAAUAUUAUUUAGUCAGGUUAACUGUAGGAUAAACUAAUGUUGACUUAAGAUUAAAACAAUAUUGAUUUAUAGCUACAUAAAUUUACAAAUAGGUAAAAAAUGUCCAUUGCUCUUGAUUGCCAACAACAGUGGUAGAACUGACCAGAUUUCAUGUGCUACCUCUCUAAGAAGCAUUUCUAUUUUAGGCCCAAGGAAUGAAGCAAGGGAACUCUCUUGGGGUUUCUUUUAUAAGGACACUAAUCCCAGUCAUGAGGGCUCCAUCCUCAUGACCUAAGGACCUCCCAAUGGUCCUCCACCAAAUUCUAUCCUCUUGGGGGUUAGGUUUCAGCAGUGAAUUUGGGGAGGGUAGAUACAAUCUUUCCAUCUAUAGUAGUGGCUAAGAUUUAUGCUUCUGCAAUUCUAAUUUUAGAUUUGGAGACACCAGAGUGGAUAGGGGGCAUGGGAAAGGACCUAGAAUGACUCCUAGCCCUCUGGUUUAGGUUCCUGGGGGGAGGCUGACACCCCAGGGGAGAGCUAGUUAGACAGGUUGGAAUAGGGAAGAUGCGUGAGCAGCCUUGACAUGUUCAGAUUGCCUCUAAACUUUCAAGCACAAGUACAGAAUGAAUAGGUCCUUUCUGAGUAAAAUACAGAGAAAUCCUUAGGUUAUGUUUUGUCUCUGUGGCUGAGUCUUUAAUGCAACUAUCUGGAAGCUAAGUGUCCAAUAUCAUGUUGUUCUAAGCAAGAAUCUCAGGGCUGUUGGGUACUGGACAGAAAUAAGGAAAAUAGGCAACAAGCGUCCUAGGAAUUCAUGAAGAGCAAUUCAGAUUUGUGAACAAGAUUUCAUAUCAAGAUUCUUUUUCUUGUUUCCUGCUGCACCCACAGCGUGCUGAAGUCCCUGGGCCAGGGAUUGAACUUGCACCGUAGCAGUGACAAUACCAGGUCUUUACCUGAUAGCCCACCAGGGAACAAACGCCUCAAGAUUCUUUUUGUUUUUUUUGUUUGUUUGUUUGUUUGUUUUUUAAGUAAAGAAUAGUUCCACAGGAGGGCAGAAACCAAGGGUAAUCACCUCUGUCUGCUUCCUUCUCCAUGGAUCUCCCUGUCUUUUUUUCCAGUACUUCUUGGCCUUUCAGACAUUGGAUUCAUUCUUCUCUCUCCUGACCCUGAUUCCUCGAAAUGUUAUUAUGUCCCGAGCCCAUUUUGUCUGGUCCUCGACCUUAUGGGAUACACCUACCUUCAACUCUCCAGAUAAAUGAUGUUAUUUUUUUAUUCUCCCAGAUUCCAGCAUUCUCAGGAGAGAAUGGAAGGCAUACGGAAGUUCCCGGGAUAGGGGUGGAAUCAGAGCUGCAGCUGCUUGCCUAAGUCACAGCCACAGCAACGCCGGAUUGGAGAUGGAUCUGAGCCGCAUCUAUGACCUACGAUGCACCUUGUAGCAACACUGGAUCCUUAGCCCACUGAGCAAGACCAGGGAUUGAACGUGCAUCCUCAUAGACACUAUGUUGGGUUCUUAACCCACUGAGCCACAAGGGGAACUCCUGUCCACUUCAUUUUUAAAGCACUGAUGCAAGGAGUACUGGCAGGGUUACCUGGCAGUCAUGCAUUAAUCAGGUAUGUGAGUGAGGGGGUACUAUAGAAUGAACCCUGGGGGGAAAAAAACUUCAUGAAAACAUCACUGAAAGACAUGCUGCACUUCUUGCAGUGAAAAGAACUGGUUAUUUCCCUGUCUACUUCCCCUGUAGAAACAAGGACUUUUAUCACAAAGAUUCUUUUGUCAUAAUUAUUAACAUGGUGAGCAAUGUAAGAUUCACACAGAGGUUGUUAAAUCUUCACAUUUCUGGAGUCCUCUUCCAAACUCAUGUCAUACUUUUACAUUGUCACCAAAUACUUGUUUCUUAACAUUCAGGUUUUAUUUCCUGCCAUAAGGAGGUGCAGUAGGACUGAGAAGCCACUAGAUGUCGCUGUUGCAGGUAGCAUUUCAAAUCCUCCAACUUGAGUCUGCUAUUGUUGAAUGCAAAUAUUUCAGUAAUCGUUGACAGAAAUCAUCCAGACUAUCCUUCCUGACGGGCAAUCACAGUGAAUGGUGGUGGUUUACCUUUAAUGAACCUCAAGUAAAGAGCAAUGUUUAAAAGAGCACCCAUCUCUGCUGGCCACUGGCAGGACAGAUACCAAAGCAAGCUGGCCUCCAAGGUCCUUACAGUCUGAACACCUUUAAGCCUGAGAGUCUAAAGGCAUGAUCUCUUCUGGUUUUCUAACCUUUGUGUGCCUUUGUUUUUGUCAGGAUCAAAUCAUUUUGGUAAAUGGCAUAUUGUAUAUUCAACAUAGCAGAAUCCAUAAUAGUGAGAAACAUUAAGAAAAUAUUACAAGGAAUUCCAUUGUGGCUCAGUGGUAACAAACCCUACUAGUAGUAUUUCUGAGGAUGCAGGUUUGACCUCUGGCCUCACUCAGUGGGUUAAACAUCUGAUGUUGCCCUGAGCUGUGGUGUAGGUUGUGGAUGCAGUUUGGAUCCUGCAUUGCUGUGGCUGUGGUGUAGGCUGGCAGCUUAGCUCCCAUUCAUCCCCUAGGCUGGGAACUUUCAUAUGCCAUGUAUAUGGCCCUAAAAAGAAAAUAUUACAGUGAUGGCAAAAGUUUGCUUUGUAUUUAGGUGACUUCCCUUGGCUUAGGAGGCCAAGGCUCAGAGGCUGAGUGCUUCAGAGAAAGGGCAAUCUUCAGGCCAUUGGUCAGCUGCUCUCUGCUGGCUUAAAUUUAACUCAACUCUGAGAUUAUUGUGGGAUAUUGAAGGGGGAAGUUUUAAUUGUGUAAAGACAGUCCUUCUCAUAUUGUCUUGUCAUUUUUCUCUUUCCUUCUUCUUCUCCUGUCCUCUCCUCAACUUCUUUUGCCCUGAUUAUCCUUUUACCUUUGCCCUUAGUUCCCAGUGGCUCCAAGGCAUUUCCUAGUAGCAAUGGAUGCUCAAGAAUGUAUGAUUUUGGAACCUGGUUUCUUGUCCCUUGUCCUCUUCUCCUAAUACUUUCAACCACAAAUAAAAGAUUUCCAGCUACUAAAAAUGGAUAAUCCAUUAGGAGAGUGAAACCUAAAGAAUACUAUUGGAGACCUGGGUGGAGAGGCAUGGCCGACUGAGGCCAGUGUUUCCCAAAGUGGGUUGAGUAAAACAUCACUCCUCAGGAAUGCACACUACUAUAUAUAUAAUAGAUAACCAACAAGGACCUACCGUACAGCACAGGGAAUUCUACUUAAUACUCUGUAACAACCUAUGAUACAAAAAAGGAGUUCCUGUUGUGGCACAGUGGAAACGAAUCUGACUAGGAACCAUGAGGUUGGGGUUCGAUCCCUGGCCUCGCUCAUUGGGUUAAGGAUCUGGCAUUAUGGUGAGCUGCGGUGUAGGUUGCAGACACAGCUAAGAUCUGACAUUGCUGUGGCUGUGGUGUAUGCUGGCAGCUGUAGCUCUGAUUGGACCCCUAACCUGGGAAACUCCAUGUGCCA
This 4776-nucleotide long non-coding RNA is filed under the name Sus scrofa (pig). RNAcentral describes it as "lncRNA (multiple genes)". Lineage: Eukaryota; Metazoa; Chordata; Mammalia; Artiodactyla; Suidae. The record is from RNAcentral.